AUACGGAGGGGGCUAGCGUUGUUCGGAAUUACUGGGCGUAAAGCGCGUGUAGGCGGAUCGUUAAGUCAGGGGGGAAAGCCCGGGGCUCAACCCCGGAACUGCCCUUGAUACUGGCGAUCUAGAGUCCGGAAGAGGUGGGCGGAAUUCCCGGUGUAGAGGUGAAAUUCGUAGAUAUCGGGAGGAACACCAGUGGCGAAGGCGGCUCACUGGUCCGGUACUGACGCUGAGACGCGAAAGCGUGGGGAGCAAACAGGAUUAGAAACCCUAGUAGUCC
RNAcentral lists this ribosomal RNA (274 nucleotides) under uncultured bacterium. Its description in RNAcentral is "partial 16S ribosomal RNA". It matches the Rfam family "Bacterial small subunit ribosomal RNA", at positions 523 to 796 of the family's 1533-position model. The record is from RNAcentral.